UACGAAGGGGGCUAGCGUUGCUCGGAUUGACUGGGCGUAAAGGGCGCGUAGGCGGCCAACUAAGUCAGACGUGAAAUCCCUCGGCUUAACCGGGGAACUGCGUCUGAUACUGGAUGGCUUGAGUUUGGGAGAGGGAUGCGGAAUUCCAGGUGUAGCGGUGAAAUGCGUAGAUAUCUGGAGGAACACCGGUGGCGAAGGCGGCUCACUGGCCCGAUACUGACGCUGAGGCACGAAAGCGUGGGGAGCAAACAGG
RNAcentral lists this ribosomal RNA (253 nucleotides) under uncultured bacterium. Its description in RNAcentral is "partial 16S ribosomal RNA". It matches the Rfam family "Bacterial small subunit ribosomal RNA", at positions 524 to 776 of the family's 1533-position model. The record is from RNAcentral.